CAAAGAAGCAACAGGGGCAGUGAGAGGGGAGUGUCUAUGUAACUAGCCGGGUGGGAGGAGCUAUAAAAUAGCUGGGUGUUAUUAGGGGCAGUGAGAGGGGAGUGUCUACAUAACUUGCUGGAUGGGAGGAGCUAUAAACUAGCUGGGCGUUGUUAGGGGCAGUGAGAGGGGAGUGUCUAAGUAACUAGCCGGGUGGGAGGAGCUAUAAACUAGCUGGGUGUUAUUAGGGGCAGUGAGAGGGGAGUGU
Bufo bufo (common toad) is the source of this 247-nucleotide long non-coding RNA. RefSeq lists it as uncharacterized. The transcript has 3 exons. NCBI's taxonomy places the organism in Eukaryota, Metazoa, Chordata, Amphibia, Anura, Bufonidae. The record is from RefSeq and is a predicted model, not a curated record.